Molecule: ribosomal RNA, 1438 nt
Filed under: uncultured organism
Description: partial small subunit ribosomal RNA
Rfam family: Bacterial small subunit ribosomal RNA
Source: RNAcentral
ACGCUGGCGGCGUGCUUAACACAUGCAAGUCGAACGGAAAGGCCCUGCUUUUGUGGGGUGCUCGAGUGGCGAACGGGUGAGUAACACGUGAGUAACCUGCCCUUGACUUUGGGAUAACUUCAGGAAACUGGGGCUAAUACCGGAUAGGAGCUCCUGCUGCAUGGUGGGGGUUGGAAAGUUUCGGCGGUUGGGGAUGGACUCGCGGCUUAUCAGCUUGUUGGUGGGGUAGUGGCUUACCAAGGCUUUGACGGGUAGCCGGCCUGAGAGGGUGACCGGCCACAUUGGGACUGAGAUACGGCCCAGACUCCUACGGGAGGCAGCAGUGGGGAAUAUUGCACAAUGGGCGGAAGCCUGAUGCAGCAACGCCGCGUGCGGGAUGACGGCCUUCGGGUUGUAAACCGCUUUCGCCUGUGACGAAGCGUGAGUGACGGUAAUGGGUAAAGAAGCACCGGCUAACUACGUGCCAGCAGCCGCGGUGAUACGUAGGGUGCGAGCGUUGUCCGGAUUUAUUGGGCGUAAAGGGCUCGUAGGUGGUUGAUCGCGUCGGAAGUGUAAUCUUGGGGCUUAACCCUGAGCGUGCUUUCGAUACGGGUUGACUUGAGGAAGGUAGGGGAGAAUGGAAUUCCUGGUGGAGCGGUGGAAUGCGCAGAUAUCAGGAGGAACACCAGUGGCGAAGGCGGUUCUCUGGGCCUUUCCUGACGCUGAGGAGCGAAAGCGUGGGGAGCGAACAGGCUUAGAUACCCUGGUAGUCCACGCUGUAAACGGUGGGUACUAGGUGUGGGGUCCAUUCCACGGGUUCCGUGCCGUAGCUAACGCUUUAAGUACCCCGCCUGGGGAGUACGGCCGCAAGGCUAAAACUCAAAGGAAUUGACGGGGCCCCGCACAAGCGGCGGAGCAUGCGGAUUAAUUCGAUGCAACGCGUAGAACCUUACCUGGGUUUGACAUGGAUCGGGAGUGCUCAGAGAUGGGUGUGCCUCUUUUGGGGUCGGUUCACAGGUGGUGCAUGGCUGUCGUCAGCUCGUGUCGUGAGAUGUUGGGUUAAGUCCCGCAACGAGCGCAACCCUUGUUCACUGUUGCCAGCACGUUAUGGUGGGGACUCAGUGGAGACCGCCGGGGUCAACUCGGAGGAAGGUGGGGAUGACGUCAAGUCAUCAUGCCCCUUAUGUCCAGGGCUUCACGCAUGCUACAAUGGCUGGUACAGAGAGUGGCGAGCCUGUGAGGGUGAGCGAAUCUCGGAAAGCCGGUCUCAGUUCGGAUUGGGGUCUGCAACUCGACCUCAUGAAGUCGGAGUCGCUAGUAAUCGCAGAUCAGCAACGCUGCGGUGAAUACGUUCCCGGGGCUUGUACACACCGCCCGUCAAGUCAUGAAAGUUGGUAACACCCGAAGCCGGUGGCCUAACCGUUGUGGGGGAGCCGUCGAAGGUGGGACUGGUGAUUAG